AUUAUACACUUGUGAAUUGUGAUUUAGAUAGAAAAAUGAUCGUUUGUGUGCCUAGAUUAUUAAUGAACUCUUUUUUAUUUGAAAAGAACAAAUGACAAAGCGUAUUGAUUGUGUGAAAAAUGUUAAAAUUUCCUAACUAGUAUUACUCAUUUUACUUUACAUCUCACUAACAAAACGAAAAUGAGUUUUAACAAAACUAUAAUAAUAGAAUGUAACUCUACAUUUACCAACCGCUA
This 236-nucleotide long non-coding RNA is filed under the name Olea europaea (common olive). RNAcentral's name for it is "long non-coding RNA (OEUR_LNC009378)". The record is from RNAcentral. Lineage: Eukaryota; Viridiplantae; Streptophyta; Magnoliopsida; Lamiales; Oleaceae.